This is a long non-coding RNA of Erpetoichthys calabaricus (reedfish), 1117 nucleotides long. RefSeq lists it as uncharacterized. The transcript has 6 exons. The record is from RefSeq and is a predicted model, not a curated record. Lineage: Eukaryota; Metazoa; Chordata; Cladistia; Polypteriformes; Polypteridae.
UUGCGGCAGUGACAGGCAGCACUAAACAGUGAAUCACAACACGGAAGCCGGCUGUGCGUUGCUAGAAGGUCUUCUUGUUGGGUGCAAUAUCGCUAUUCCAUCUGUCAACGUCAGGCCACAAAGGACCGCCGUCCAACAUGACUGUUACAAUUCACGUUGUUUACUGUGGUGCCUGAGGGUACAAGCCCAAGUUUAAUCGUCUGAAGAAAGACCUGGAGAGCAAAUUCCCUGGCAAUCUUCAGAUAACAGGGGAGGGCACUCCUCAGAGUACAGGCUGGUUUGAAGUGACCAUCGAUGGAAAAUUGGUGCAUUCAAAAAAGAAUGGUGAUGGGUAUGUGGAUAGUGAUGCAAAGCUGUCCAAAAUUGUGGAAGCAAUCAAAGCUGCUUUGAAGCUCUAAGAGAGAUGGAUGUUUAUAUUCUUGCAGGAGGCUAAACCCUCAUCUCUGUUCUCCUUGGUGGAUCACUUAAUGAUGGCGGUGUUCUCAGUGCACAAGAGUGCAUGGAUACCCCCUGAUGAAUUGUGUGAAGCUGAUGAGGCUGGAGAUUGUUUGGUGUUUGUGCUACUUCCUUGAAAGAAUUUUUUUUUCUUGUUUACAUUUUGUUUGUCCCCCUCAUGACCAGGUUACACUUCUAUGUUUUUAUGUUUACACACAAAUGCAAAGCAGUUAUGGAGGAUUCAUGCCCAAAUGCAGUUUAACAACCCUUCAGUUUUAUUUCAGAUUAAAAAAAUAGUGAUUUUUUUUUUUAUAAUGGGCUUGUGUGGCUUUGAAGUUUUGCUAUGCUCUGCUUGAAGCCCUCUUUGUAUUUUUCAUCUGAAACAUUACUCCUGUGUAGAUCUGGCCCUUUGGAAUAAGCUACUACAUAUGCUUUAUAAUAUUAUAGCAUUACAUUAAGACAGUACAAUAAGAAAAUAGACUGGGGGGUGGACAUUAAAGAGUGAGGGACUGGGUAUUCCUUCAUAUCAGUUUUUUGUCAUUUAAACCAUGAAUUCUGACCAAACAACACAUAUCUUAAAGCCAGGAUGGUCUUAUUGGGCAAAGUCCUGGGCUCUUUAAACUUUCUAAUUGAUACAAUCUUGCUCUGUUAUCACAACUCUAAAUAAAAUGUAAUAAAUAUU